RNAcentral lists this ribosomal RNA (2628 nucleotides) under Escherichia coli. Its description in RNAcentral is "partial 23S ribosomal RNA". It matches the Rfam family "Bacterial large subunit ribosomal RNA". The record is from RNAcentral. Lineage: Bacteria; Pseudomonadati; Pseudomonadota; Gammaproteobacteria; Enterobacterales; Enterobacteriaceae.
GGCGAGCGAACGGGGAGCAGCCCAGAGCCUGAAUCAGUGUGUGUGUUAGUGGAAGCGUCUGGAAAGGCGCGCGAUACAGGGUGACAGCCCCGUACACAAAAAUGCACAUGCUGUGAGCUCGAUGAGUAGGGCGGGACACGUGGUAUCCUGUCUGAAUAUGGGGGGACCAUCCUCCAAGGCUAAAUACUCCUGACUGACCGAUAGUGAACCAGUACCGUGAGGGAAAGGCGAAAAGAACCCCGGCGAGGGGAGUGAAAAAGAACCUGAAACCGUGUACGUACAAGCAGUGGGAGCCUCUUUAUGGGGUGACUGCGUACCUUUUGUAUAAUGGGUCAGCGACUUAUAUUCUGUAGCAAGGUUAACCGAAUAGGGGAGCCGAAGGGAAACCGAGUCUUAACUGGGCGUUAAGUUGCAGGGUAUAGACCCGAAACCCGGUGAUCUAGCCAUGGGCAGGUUGAAGGUUGGGUAACACUAACUGGAGGACCGAACCGACUAAUGUUGAAAAAUUAGCGGAUGACUUGUGGCUGGGGGUGAAAGGCCAAUCAAACCGGGAGAUAGCUGGUUCUCCCCGAAAGCUAUUUAGGUAGCGCCUCGUGAAUUCAUCUCCGGGGGUAGAGCACUGUUUCGGCAAGGGGGUCAUCCCGACUUACCAACCCGAUGCAAACUGCGAAUACCGGAGAAUGUUAUCACGGGAGACACACGGCGGGUGCUAACGUCCGUCGUGAAGAGGGAAACAACCCAGACCGCCAGCUAAGGUCCCAAAGUCAUGGUUAAGUGGGAAACGAUGUGGGAAGGCCCAGACAGCCAGGAUGUUGGCUUAGAAGCAGCCAUCAUUUAAAGAAAGCGUAAUAGCUCACUGGUCGAGUCGGCCUGCGCGGAAGAUGUAACGGGGCUAAACCAUGCACCGAAGCUGCGGCAGCGACGCUUAUGCGUUGUUGGGUAGGGGAGCGUUCUGUAAGCCUGCGAAGGUGUGCUGUGAGGCAUGCUGGAGGUAUCAGAAGUGCGAAUGCUGACAUAAGUAACGAUAAAGCGGGUGAAAAGCCCGCUCGCCGGAAGACCAAGGGUUCCUGUCCAACGUUAAUCGGGGCAGGGUGAGUCGACCCCUAAGGCGAGGCCGAAAGGCGUAGUCGAUGGGAAACAGGUUAAUAUUCCUGUACUUGGUGUUACUGCGAAGGGGGGACGGAGAAGGCUAUGUUGGCCGGGCGACGGUUGUCCCGGUUUAAGCGUGUAGGCUGGUUUUCCAGGCAAAUCCGGAAAAUCAAGGCUGAGGCGUGAUGACGAGGCACUACGGUGCUGAAGCAACAAAUGCCCUGCUUCCAGGAAAAGCCUCUAAGCAUCAGGUAACAUCAAAUCGUACCCCAAACCGACACAGGUGGUCAGGUAGAGAAUACCAAGGCGCUUGAGAGAACUCGGGUGAAGGAACUAGGCAAAAUGGUGCCGUAACUUCGGGAGAAGGCACGCUGAUAUGUAGGUGAAGCGACUUGCUCGUGGAGCUGAAAUCAGUCGAAGAUACCAGCUGGCUGCAACUGUUUAUUAAAAACACAGCACUGUGCAAACACGAAAGUGGACGUAUACGGUGUGACGCCUGCCCGGUGCCGGAAGGUUAAUUGAUGGGGUUAGCGGUAACGCGAAGCUCUUGAUCGAAGCCCCGGUAAACGGCGGCCGUAACUAUAACGGUCCUAAGGUAGCGAAAUUCCUUGUCGGGUAAGUUCCGACCUGCACGAAUGGCGUAAUGAUGGCCAGGCUGUCUCCACCCGAGACUCAGUGAAAUUGAACUCGCUGUGAAGAUGCAGUGUACCCGCGGCAAGACGGAAAGACCCCGUGAACCUUUACUAUAGCUUGACACUGAACAUUGAGCCUUGAUGUGUAGGAUAGGUGGGAGGCUUUGAAGUGUGGACGCCAGUCUGCAUGGAGCCGGCCUUGAAAUACCACCCUUUAAUGUUUGAUGUUCUAACGUUGGCCCCUGAUCGGGGUUGCGGACAGUGUCUGGUGGGUAGUUUGACUGGGGCGGUCUCCUCCUAAAGAGUAACGGAGGAGCACGAAGGUUGGCUAAUCCUGGUCGGACAUCAGGAGGUUAGUGCAAUGGCAUAAGCCAGCUUGACUGCGAGCGUGACGGCGCGAGCAGGUGCGAAAGCAGGUCAUAGUGAUCCGGUGGUUCUGAAUGGAAGGGCCAUCGCUCAACGGAUAAAAGGUACUCCGGGGAUAACAGGCUGAUACCGCCCAAGAGUUCAUAUCGACGGCGGUGUUUGGCACCUCGAUGUCGGCUCAUCACAUCCUGGGGCUGAAGUAGGUCCCAAGGGUAUGGCUGUUCGCCAUUUAAAGUGGUACGCGAGCUGGGUUUAGAACGUCGUGAGACAGUUCGGUCCCUAUCUGCCGUGGGCGCUGGAGAACUGAGGGGGGCUGCUCCUAGUACGAGAGGACCGGAGUGGACGCAUCACUGGUGUUCGGGUUGUCAUGCCAAUGGCACUGCCCGGUAGCUAAAUGCGGAAGAGAUAAGUGCUGAAAGCAUCUAAGCACGAAACUUGCCCCGAGAUGAGUUCUCCCUGAGACUUUAAGUCUCCUGAAGGAACGUUGAAGACGACGACGUUGAUAGGCCGGGUGUGUAAGCGCAGCGAUGCGUUGAGCUAA